RNAcentral lists this ribosomal RNA (359 nucleotides) under uncultured Pseudomonas sp. RNAcentral's name for it is "bacterial SSU rRNA". It matches the Rfam family "Bacterial small subunit ribosomal RNA", at positions 958 to 1316 of the family's 1533-position model. Lineage: Bacteria; Pseudomonadati; Pseudomonadota; Gammaproteobacteria; Pseudomonadales; Pseudomonadaceae. The record is from RNAcentral.
AACGCGAAGAACCUUACCAGGCCUUGACAUCCAAUGAACUUUCUAGAGAUAGAUUGGUGCCUUCGGGAACAUUGAGACAGGUGCUGCAUGGCUGUCGUCAGCUCGUGUCGUGAGAUGCUGGGUUAAGUCCCGUAACGAGCGCAACCCUUGUCCUUAGUUACCAGCACGUAAUGGUGGGCACCCUAAGGAGACUGCCGGUGACAAACCGGAGGAAGGUGGGGAUGACGUCAAGUCAUCAUGGCCCUUACGGCCUGGGCUACACACGUGCUACAAUGGUCGGUACAAAGGGUUGCCAAGCCGCGAGGUGGAGCUAAUCCCAUAAAACCGAUCGUAGUCCGGAUCGCAGUCUGCAACUAAUC